RNAcentral lists this ribosomal RNA (213 nucleotides) under Cronartium flaccidum. RNAcentral describes it as "5.8S ribosomal RNA". The stretch from base 15 to 168 matches the Rfam family "5.8S ribosomal RNA". Rfam says of the family: 5.8S ribosomal RNA (5.8S rRNA) is a component of the large subunit of the eukaryotic ribosome. The record is from RNAcentral. Lineage: Eukaryota; Fungi; Basidiomycota; Pucciniomycetes; Pucciniales; Coleosporiaceae.
CCCCUUAUAAAAAUAACUUUUAACAAUGGAUCUCUUGGCUCUCACAUCGAUGAAGAACACAGUGAAAUGUGAUAAGUAAUGUGAAUUGCAGAAUUCAGUGAAUCAUCAAAUCUUUGAACGCACCUUGCACCUUUUGGUAUUCCAAAAGGUACACCUGUUUGAGUGUCAUGAAACCCUCUCAUUCCAAUUCUUAUAGUUUUUUUUAUAUAAGGA